RNAcentral lists this ribosomal RNA (865 nucleotides) under uncultured beta proteobacterium. RNAcentral's name for it is "bacterial SSU rRNA". It matches the Rfam family "Bacterial small subunit ribosomal RNA", at positions 10 to 865 of the family's 1533-position model. The record is from RNAcentral. Lineage: Bacteria; Pseudomonadati; Pseudomonadota; Betaproteobacteria.
AGUUUGAUCAUGGCUCAGAUUGAACGCUGGCGGCAUGCCUUACACAUGCAAGUCGAACGGCAGCGGGCCCUUCGGGGUGCCGGCAAGUGGCGAACGGGUGAGUAACACAUCGGAACGUACCCUGUGGUGGGGGAUAACCCGUCGAAAGACGGGCUAAUACCGCAUAAGCUCUGCGGAGGAAAGCGGGGGACCGUCAAGGCCUCGCGCCACAGGAGCGGCCGAUGUCCGAUUAGCUAGUUGGUAGGGUAAAGGCCUACCAAGGCGACGAUCGGUAGCGGGUCUGAGAGGACGGCCCGCCACACUGGGACUGAGACACGGCCCAGACUCCUACGGGAGGCAGCAGUGGGGAAUCUUGGACAAUGGGGGAAACCCUGAUCCAGCAAUGCCGCGUGGGUGAAGAAGGCCUUCGGGUUGUAAAGCCCUUUUAGCGGGGAAGAAAUCGGCUAGGUGAAUAAUCUAGCUGGAUGACGGUACCUGCAGAAAAAGCACCGGCUAACUACGUGCCAGCAGCCCGCGGUAAUACGUAGGGUGCGAGCGUUAAUCGGAUUUACUGGGCGUAAAGCGUGCGCAGGCGGUCCGCUAAGACAGGUGUGAAAUCCCUGGGCUUAACCUAGGAAUUGCGCUUGUGACUGGUGGGCUAGAGUACGGUAGAGGGGGGUGGAAUUCUGGUGUAGCAGUGAAAUGCGUAGAGAUCAGGAAGAACACCCGAUGGCGAAGGCAGCCCCCUGGGCCUGUACUUGACGCUCAGCACGAAAGCGUGGGGGAGCAAACAGGAUUAGAUACCCUGGUAGUCCACGCCCUAAACGAUGGGUACUACCCGUUUGGUGCUUGAUAUGGUGCUGAGUGGCGAACUUACGCGUGAAGU